This is a long non-coding RNA of Chinchilla lanigera (long-tailed chinchilla), 105 nucleotides long. RefSeq lists it as uncharacterized. The transcript has 3 exons. NCBI's taxonomy places the organism in Eukaryota, Metazoa, Chordata, Mammalia, Rodentia, Chinchillidae. The record is from RefSeq and is a predicted model, not a curated record.
CUCCUGUGAAAACUCGGCAGCCAGGAAACCAGAGCCCGAGCCUCUGGGGCCUCCGAGCCCCCGGGCUACACGGGCCGGGAAGAGCUGCCCAGCGCCCUGCGGCCG